UACAUUAUGAAAAAAAUAUGUAAUAUAAUUAUUAAAUCCCUUCCAUUAUAUAUGUAUAUGCAUUAACAAGAUAAGCACAUUAUAUAUAUAUUAGUUUAGGCUAUUUAUUUAUCAUAAAUGAAUAUAAAUAAUUUACUUCCAAAUUGUUAAAUUUUUAAGAUAGAGAACAUUUCCCCAUAGUUCUCAUUUAAUUUUAUACAUGAAAAAUUGUCUUAAUAACUUUGCACUGGCUAACCCAUCAACUUUGUAUGUUCAAUUGUAAUCUAAGAAAUUAUAAGAAAAUUUAAUUAUUCAGGCAAGAUAAUAGAAUAUUUUGUGGUGACCAAGGCAUGCACUAUAAGUAUUCUCAUUCAAAGAAAAAGCAUCUGAAACAGAAAUGCCAAAUCACAAUAUGUUUGUAUUAGUUAUUAUUUAAAAUUUCCAUCAUCUAAGAAAUCAAGCAACUUCUGGUUGCUUAAAAAAAUCAAUAUUUGAGUAUUAUUAGCCAACUGUACUUAUUACAGCUUGACUACUACAGUAUUACUGUACUUUUAACGAGCUUACUACCCAGUAUGUAUACAUAGUGAACAAUACAUGAUGAAAUUUACUAGGAAUGCUUUAAUGGUAUGUAGUAUCCAGAAUACUAUUUUUACCCAAGCAGGAUAGAGCAAAUUGCUGCCUCCUUUGUGAUUUAUUUUGUGAAAUUUCCUUGAACACACUUUCUGUAGUGUGUGGUGUCCUAAUUGUGUCUUGACAAUGGAUCUUGCCAGAGAUGACAUAUUUUCGACAUCACCAAUUGUAUAAAAGAAAAGAAAAUUAGUCUACAAAGUAGCCAACUGCAUAAAAGAAGAUGUUAACAUUCCACUACCUAUGUACUUAACCAUCCUUUGUCAUUUUGUUUUCAUAUGUUUGUGCAAUGUUUGUCAGCAUUAUUAUUUGUUAUGUUCAAGUCCAUUAACCUGCCACAAUUCACUCAAACUAUGGCAGGUAUGGAAGAAAGGAAAAUUUAAAUCUUGGAUUAAGUUACAGGAUUUGCAGUUCAAUGCUCACUUUAAGAAUGGUUAUAUAUAUAUAUAAAAAUAUAAAUAUAUAUAGCUCAGUAUGAUAUCUGAGAUUGAUUUAUAAGCAUUUGCUGACUUUUCGUAGACUGUUGAUACCCAUAAUGAAGAGGGUUUAAACAAAACAGCACAUUUUAAAAAAAUGUUUUCUACACUGAAAUUGUGUACUAUUGACUACAAUAUUGUGCUUGUACAGGUCUUGUAGGUGCAAUGAGAUCUUCAUAUACACAGUAUACAGUAUAUAUAUUGUCAAAUGUGUCCAACUUCCGAACACUUCUUUUUGAAAGAAAGAAAACCAUCAAAAAACAGGAAUAAAAGGCCGAAGAAUUCCAAAAUAAAAGUUUUGUAUGCAUUUAUUUAUAUUAAUUUUUCUGGCAUAAUAUUUAUUCUGCUUUAAAAGAAGAUCUCUGUGCAUACACAAGGCACAGUUUCAGCUCAUAAGUGAGAUUAGAAAAUGGAACAUUUAAGGAUUAUGUAUGUUUUAUAAACUGCAUUAAUUUUGUAGUGUGUCAUCCUCAUUGAAAGAUAUGGGUUGUUUGAGAUCUUUGCCAAGUGCUUCAAAUUGGAUGCCAAUUCUGACAAACGAAGAGUCACAAUUGGGAUGAAAGGAUACCAAGUUGGAUCCGUCGCAUUUAAAUUCUGCUUAUCCACGUUAAAGAGUUUUGUACAUAGACUUAAGAGAAUACUUAUUUCUAAUUAUAUUGUAGCAUAAUUUCUGCACAUAUUACAUUUUCGGCUAACAUACGAGCGAAGUUCAAUUUUCAAUAUCUUAAGUUAUAUUAUAGAUCCUACUUAAAGAAAAAAACGUUAGUCUUGCCAUAUUAGGGGAAAAAAGCACAUCAAGAUAUUAGAUCGCGAAAAUUAUAUACUUACCUCGGUUUAGGAAAAUAUUUAGGUCACAAUAACGUAGUUUUAUGCUAAUAUUUCAUCCUUAGGUGAAUCAUAAUCGAUAGAAAGCGAACUGGAGAAUUGGUAACCAAAUUAGUCCAUAAAUUCCAUCUCAUUUAUUUUCUACGAUCUUAAUGCUCAAAAGAACGGGAUUAAGUAAAGAUUUUGAGAGUGAAGUUUUUAUAAAUCAUAUACUUUAACUUCGCCUAUCGCCCUAUUAAAUCAUACCAUCCAUUUGAUUUCAGAGAACGUACCAACUUUACAAUUAAUUUGUAUGUUUAUAUAUAUACGCUGGAAAUUGUUUCGGAACCAAAAAUUAAUUAAAUGUAUUGAUUGAUACGGAUUGGAGAUUCAUAGUUACUAUGUAAAGUAUCCAUUAAAACAAAAAAACUUUUGUAACGCCUGCAUCAUCUACAAUUUCAUCAUCACUGAUUAUUGUUAGUUAGGUGGACUGGUUGCGGUUCAAACUGUUCUCCAGCUCGUGGUAGGAAUGGAGUAGUAGUAUAAAUAAUCAUUAACCAUGACGUAUUUGUAUAAGAACGGAUAAUGUUGUAAACUAUUGAAAAAAAUUACGGCAUCCGUUUUGCGAUGGUUGAUACCACUUAUUACAAAAAAAGUUAUUACUGAUGAUAAAAUAAAUUUUUAAAUACUGUUCUAGUUUAUGAUUUUUGAUAUAUGUUGUAUCUAUAAACCGAGCUUGUGCACAUAGAUACUGUAUUUAUUUUCGAUGUGUUUUAAUAAGGGUACGUUUCGUACUCUUAAUGUUGACUAGAUUAAUACCGAAGUAUUAUAUAAGCAGUGUUAAAAAAGACGUGCAAAAAGAAGACAUUUUUGUAAUGUUAUUUAUUUAUUUAUUUAUUGAAUUUUGUCUCCUUUUUUAAUGUCUUUUCCAAAGUU
RNAcentral lists this long non-coding RNA (2822 nucleotides) under Androctonus crassicauda. Lineage: Eukaryota; Metazoa; Arthropoda; Arachnida; Scorpiones; Buthidae. The record is from RNAcentral.